AUGGGAUCUCAUGGAGGGAGGUCCUGCAGAGUGGCUCAUCCCAACCCCUCUGUGAUGUCCCAUCACAGAAAUUCAGGUUUGGGUGGUGGCAGAGCAGGGAAAGGUCCCACUCUCCCCAUGACAGACAGGAGGAGGCUUUCCCUGGGCUCUGAGCCGUGGUUCCAGGGUGGUUCCAGGUGGACUCUGGGGAUUGGAGAUGGCUGGGUCAGAGGGAAGGGAUGGGAGAUCAUGAAAUCACAGAAUCACCAAUGUUGGAAGAGACCCUCGGGAUCAUCCAGUCCAGCCCAGCAGCACCACGAAAGGGACCUUGGGAGGGCCAGAACAGGAGCUCCAGGAUCUCCCCCCUUGCCUGGCCUUGGCAUUUCCAUGCCCGUCUGGCCAGGCAGGCUCCGCUGCUGCCAAUGUGCUGAUGCGGGAGCUUUGCAGCGCCGAGAUUUGCCUCCUGUGCAAAACCCAGCGAAAGUGGGCUGGGGCUGGAGCCGCGGCGUUCCCAGCCCAGGGCAGGGACGCGGGAGGAUCAGAGGGAUCGCAGCUCGGGAGGCUCCGGGGACGCGCCCACAGCGGCUCCCGAAGCUGCCCCGGGGCCGGGCGGAGCCGCCCCAGCGCCUUUCCCAGCCGGUCUCUUGACACUCGGAGCUGAGCACGUCGGGCAGCAGGGAGAGGGUGAAUUGCCUCUCUUGGUGCUGCACUGGGGUUUCACCAGCCUGAGGAGCACUGGGAUGGAGGAGAUUUGGGGGCCCUUGGAGCUGGUUCUGAGCCAGAUAAAGGUGGGUGUUAAACUGGGAGGUGCUUGGAGCAGCUUUGCUGCAGCUGAAAACAUCCCAUGAGCUCUGGGAUGGCCCAAACCUCCCUGGGCCCCCGGAUCCCUCCCGGGGCUGCCCGACCCUGUCCCCCCAUCCCCAGCCCUGUUUGCUUCCUGCGUCAGGGCUGACUCACCCUGGGAUUCCUCAGCUCUGAAGUGGUUCCUGCCGGCCCUGCCCCUCCCCUGCCCAGGUGCUGAGGGUUUUUUUCCGAAGCUCUGACUCUCUGGGUGUGCCCGAGCCUCGGCAGGUCCCGGCAGGAGCGGCUCCGCUCCGCUCCCACCGCGCGUUCCUGGCGGGGCUCCAGGGGCUGGGCAGGAGCGGCCCCGGCAGCUCCUUGCCCUGCUGAGCUGGGGCUUUUCUGCUCCUGCUGGGUCCGUCUGUGGACACAGGGACAGCACUGCAGCCCCAGAGCCCAAUGGCUGCUCCAGACCCUUCCGUGGGCACAGGGCACCGUCCCAAAUCCCGGUGGCUGUUCCAAAUUCCUCCAUGGACACAGGGCACUCUCCCAGAUCCCCCAGAGCCCUCUGGCUCCUCCAUAGACAUAGAGCACUUUCCCAGAGCCCUGUGGCUCCUCCGGACCUUUCCAUGGACACAGGGCACUGUCCCAGAUCCUCCAAACCCCUGUGGCUCCUCCAUGCUCACAGGGCACUGUCCCAGAUCCCCCAGAGCCCGCUGUGGAUCCCAGUUCCCUGAGGUUUGGAGAGUUCCUGGUGAAUUUGUGCUCAGAGAGAUCCGUGGGGCUGGGAGGGAGCAGGUUGGGAGAAGGGAAGGCUCUGGAGACACCUUGGAGCCUUUUCCAGUGUCCAAAGGAGCUCCAGGAGAGCUGGAGAGGGACUGGGGGCAAGGCCUGGAGUGCCAG
RNAcentral lists this long non-coding RNA (1662 nucleotides) under Junco hyemalis (dark-eyed junco). Its description in RNAcentral is "lncRNA (ENSJHYG00000004249.1)". Lineage: Eukaryota; Metazoa; Chordata; Aves; Passeriformes; Passerellidae. The record is from RNAcentral.